ACUCCUACGGGAGGCAGCAGUGGGGAAUAUUGCACAAUGGGCGCAAGCCUGAUGCGAGCCCAUGCCGCGUGUAUGAAGAAGGCCUUCGGGUUGUAAAGUACUUUUCAGCAGUGAGGAAGGUGGACUAUGUUAAUAGCAUAUUCAUUUUGUACGUUAGCUGCAGAAGAAGCACCGGCUAACUCCGUGCCAGCAGCCGCGGUAAUACGGAGGGUGCGAGCGUUAAUCGGAAUUACUGGGCGUAAAGCGCAUGCAGGUGGUUUGUUAAGUCAGAUGUGAAAGCCCGGGGCUCAACCUCGGAAUUGCAUUUGAAACUGGCAAACUAGAGUACUGUAGAGGGGGGUUAGAAUUUCAGGUGUAGCGGUGAAAUGCGUAGAGAUCUGAAGGAAUACCGGUGGCGAAGGCGGCCCCCCUGGGACCAGAUACUGACACUCAGAUGCGAAAGCGUGGGGGAGCAAACGAGGAUUAGAUACCCUGGUAGGCUCU
This 483-nucleotide ribosomal RNA is filed under the name uncultured bacterium. Its description in RNAcentral is "bacterial SSU rRNA". It matches the Rfam family "Bacterial small subunit ribosomal RNA", at positions 335 to 798 of the family's 1533-position model. The record is from RNAcentral.